ACGGGGUGGUAGCAUACAUCAGUGGCGCAAGGGUGCGUAACACGUGGGCAACUGCCUGGAGUGGGGAUAGCCGCGAAAGGCGGAUUAAUACCGAAUGUGGCUAUGACGAUUGGUCGCGACGCUAAAGGUGGCGCAAGCUGCCGCUCUUGGAUGGGCCCGCGGCCUAUCAGCUAGUUGGUGAGGUAACGGCUCACCAAGGCGAUGACGGGUAGCUGGUCUGAGAGGACGACCAGCCGCACUGGAACUGAGACACGGUCCAGACACCUACGGGUGGCAGCAGUCGAGAAUUUUUCGCAAUGGGGGAAACCCUGACGGAGCGACGCCGCGUGGAGGAUGAAGGUCUUCGGAUUGUAAACUCCUGUCAUUGGUGAACAAGGUGCUUCCAUUAACUGUGGAGGUAAUUGCUAGUAGCCGAAGAGGAAGGGACGGCUAACUCUGUGCCAGCAGCCGCGGUAAUACAGAGGUCCCGAGCGUUGUUCGGAUUCAUUGGGCGUAAAGGGUGCGUAGGCGGUUGGGUAAGUUUGAAUGUGAAAUCCUGAGGCUCAAACCUGGAACUGCAUUGAAUACUGCUUGACUAGAGUACU
RNAcentral lists this ribosomal RNA (584 nucleotides) under uncultured bacterium. RNAcentral's name for it is "bacterial SSU rRNA". It matches the Rfam family "Bacterial small subunit ribosomal RNA", at positions 66 to 650 of the family's 1533-position model. The record is from RNAcentral.